This 917-nucleotide long non-coding RNA is filed under the name Ananas comosus (pineapple). Its description in RNAcentral is "long non-coding RNA (ACOM_LNC015915)". The record is from RNAcentral. Lineage: Eukaryota; Viridiplantae; Streptophyta; Magnoliopsida; Poales; Bromeliaceae.
AAAAAAAAAACCCACGUGGUUUCGCACUAUUUCAUUUUAGUAUCCUAUAAUUUUAAAGUAUAUCAAGUACCCUGUGGUUUCUCACUUUAUCAUUUUAGUACCCUGUGGUUUAAAGUGUAUCAAGUUAGUACUCUAUGAUUUUAUUUUUGUAUCAAGUUAGUACCCUGUAAUUUUAUUUUUGUAUUAAGUUAGAACUCUGUGGUUUUUAAACCGCAGGGUACUAAAGUGAUAAAGUGCGAAACCACAUGGUACUAAUUAAAAUGAUAAAGUGCGAAACCGCAUGGUAUUAACUUGAUACACUUUAAACCACAGGAUACUAAAGUGAAAAAGUGCAAAACCAUAUGGUACUAACUUGAUACACUUUAAACCACAGGUACUAAAGUGAUAAAAAGUGAAACCACAAGAGAGAUAUUUGAAGUUUUUCCUAAAACUUUUUUUUUUUCUCUUCUUUUCUCUUUUUCAUUUUUUAACCAUACGUAGCUAUGUAAUUUUUUCCCUAGAGCUGUAAAAUAUUUAUUUAUAUAUCUAGUUAUAUAUUUAGUCAUUUACUCCUCUAGAUAUUAUAUAAAUUAGAAUUAUUUUUACAACCGAUUUCCUUAAUUACAAGUUUCCCAGCUGGACUCUAUAGACUUAGGUUGGAAUACUAUCAAUAGCACCAAGCAUUUGGCACUAUUAGGUUUUCGGUCCUUGGAUUAAAAAAUGUACGGUUAAGAUGAUGUGGACCCUCUAGGGUUGAGUGAGUUGUUGGUUUAAUAGUAGAAUCUAAUGGGUGAAAAUAGUCAAAGAAUUAAAUAUAACGACGGAAAACUUGAUAGCAUCAAAUGCGUGGUGCUAUUGAUAGUAUCCCAGCCAGACUCUAUGUCUAUAUAUCCAUCAAAAGAAAUAGUUUCCAACUAAAACAUUCUUACGUAAAAAAA